Molecule: ribosomal RNA, 305 nt
Filed under: uncultured bacterium
Lineage: Bacteria
Description: bacterial SSU rRNA
Rfam family: Bacterial small subunit ribosomal RNA
Source: RNAcentral
CCUACGGGACGCAGCAGUGGGGAAUAUUGCACAAUGGGGGAAACCCUGAUGCAGCGACGCCGCGUGAGUGAAGAAGUAUUUCGGUAUGUAAAGCUCUAUCAGCAGGGAAGAUAAUGACGGUACCUGAGUAAGAAGCCCCGGCUAACUACGUGCCAGCAGCCGCGGUAAUACGUAGGGGGCAAGCGUUAUCCGGAUUUACUGGGUGUAAAGGGAGCGUAGACGGCGAUGCAAGUCUGAAGUGAAAGGCGGGGGCCCAACCUCCGGACUGCUUUGGAAACUGUAUGGCUGGAGUGCAGGAGAGGUAA